RNAcentral lists this long non-coding RNA (284 nucleotides) under Olea europaea (common olive). RNAcentral's name for it is "long non-coding RNA (OEUR_LNC009846)". Lineage: Eukaryota; Viridiplantae; Streptophyta; Magnoliopsida; Lamiales; Oleaceae. The record is from RNAcentral.
UCAUUUUAUUUGAGUAUCAUGCUAUAAGGGAAGAACAAUAAACUUUCCAUUUCAUGCCCAUCCGUGGUGUCGGGAUUCAAUCUAACACUAGUCGUAUGAAUAAUGGGCCAUCAGCUUUCGUGCCUAUGGGUGAUGGUAAUGACGGUGCACAACUGUUUCAAGAAGAGUUGGUGACUGAGCAAAUUGAACUCGAAGAGUGUUCUAGAGCAUCAAUGGCAGAUGCUAGGAUUUAUAGAUGGUGUCUCAAUCUGCAGCCUCUAUUUUCGGACUGAUUUUUAUAAAAU